This 2280-nucleotide long non-coding RNA is filed under the name Equus caballus (horse). RNAcentral's name for it is "lncRNA (ENSECAG00000041039.2)". Lineage: Eukaryota; Metazoa; Chordata; Mammalia; Perissodactyla; Equidae. The record is from RNAcentral.
AGCAUUAUGUGUAGUAGCCUCCAAACUGGAAACCACUCAGAUGCACGUCAGCUGAAUGGACACAUCGGUUGUGGUUUAUUCACACCACACAAUACACAGCAAAGAGCGUGGACUACAAUGAUACACUUCAAAAUCAAUGAUCUCACAACGAUGUGACUAUCCAGGUUUCUAUAGGCUCGGAACCGCUCCGUGGCUGGGAAGAUGCGGCUCUGUCGCCACCUGGUGGCUAUUAGUGUGAUUACAGCGGUAGACAAAUUCCACCGGUUGUCUCAUCCUUGCUGAACGAAGCUGAGAAAUAGAAGGUCUUUGAAGGUCCCUGAAUCCAAAUCUUCUAACUGUCAAGCCCUAAUUCACCCAGAGGUUUUCUGGCCGUCACUUGAACACCUCCCCUGAUGGAGAGUUCACUACUGAAUCAGCCAGCCACAUCCAUUCUUGGACAUCUCUCACUGUUGGGAUUCUGGUUGCUUCAACUCUAUGAGGUCCUCAGUCUCCACCUCUGAAAAAUGGGGAUGAUCCUGGCUCCCAGGGCUGUGGUGGAGAUCAGGUGAGAUGGCAUGUGGCGCUCUUGGUCUGGUCUUGGUUUGGAUUCCUUGGUUUGGAAACAGGGCCUGAGAUGGGAUGCAAGUGCAAGUAGUUUAUUUGGGAGGUGAUCCCAGGGAACAUCACUAGGAGAGAGAAGGUAUGGGACAGGGAAGGGAAGAAAGCCAGUAAAGGGUAUAUUAUUAGAUUGAUGACAAUGGUGGGCAACUGGAACUUAAUUCCUCUGGGGACUCUGGGAGUCAGUGCAGAGCCCACCUCAGAUGCAGUGAAAAUGGCCGUCUCCCAAUGGAGGGGUGAGGAAGCUGGGGCAUUUGUACAUCAACCAGGGGGCUGUGUUGGUUGAGCGCUGAUUCCAGGAGCAUUCACUCUCUGGCACUUCCUGCUCAUCUGGGGUGUGGAGUUGUCUCCCACAGUCAGAAAUCAAGCCCUGGGGCAGAGAGGUGCUGGUGUUCCAGCAAGCUGACUUGGACUGGUGGAGGUGAGUGUUGAGACCACGGGAGCAGCUCAGCAUCUGCCACAGGCAUGUCGGCUCGUCUCCCCUUGCAAUUCUGUUUUGAUGGUAUCUUCCCUGAUCAGAGUGUAUGGAUGCCUGGCUUCUGGUGAAUGGGCCUGGACCACUCCAGCAGGUGCCCCCAUCAUCUACCCUGCCUUCACCAGCUCCUGCUUGACAUGCCAGCCCCUGUGGUUGUCUGUUGCUCCGCCCUUCCCACAAAGGUCCAACAAGAAAGCUGAGAGAAAAUAAGGACCCUUCCUCAGAUUGCAGAUUAGCACAGGAAUGCCUGUUUACCACGUGAAAGACCUUUUGAUGCCUGCUAUAGAAAAACACCCCUAAGGGGUUGGGGACCAGACUGACUUCAGCUCUAAGAUCAGCCUGGCAGAUGUCUAGUGGCCCCGUGGCCCACUCCUGGCAGGGACUGUGGGCUGUUUCAAGUGUGAAUGUCAAUGUUUCAAAACUUUGGCCACCAACAUUUUGGGUGUGUCUUGGAGCUGUGGAGGGCCAUCUCAAAGAGUUAUCCAACUUUACGCCUUUCCAGCAGGGUGCCAAGUCAUCUCACGCCUCUGAGCCUUGUUCCUCAGCUGUAAAAUGGACGUAAUAAUAGGAUGAUCCCCACAGAGCGGAGCUGAGAGGUAAAUGAGAUGGUGAGUCUUCAGUGCCUGGCAUGGUGUAGACCAGCGGUUGGCAAACUGUUUCUGCAAAGGGCCAGGCAGUCAAUACUUUGACUUUGUGGGCCAGAUGGUCUCUGUUGCACCUACUCAAAUCUGGCCUCGUAAUGCUGAAGCCCCUCAGGCUAUAGGUAAAUGUUAUAAAAACAGGUGCUGACCCCUGGGGUAGAGAAUGGGCAGGAUGGGGAGGAUUUUAUUUCUCCCUCUUAGAAGGAAGAAAUGUUUCUUACCCAUCCUUGUGUCCUCCUUUGGGCUCAGCAUGGGGCCUGGCAUGUAGUAGGUGGUCAGGAAAUGUUUACUAAAGGAAGAAAAACAGCAUGAGAUAGGGAAGAGAAUGGCCUUUGGAGUCAAACAGACCUGGGUCCAGAUUGACUUAUUCUCCACGUAACCUGUGUUAAAGAAAAAAUUGUUCGUAACGCUUGUUAAAUAAUGAUAAGGCAGACUAUUCAGGGGACCUAUCAAGAUACGUACAGGACGACUGCAAUGGGGUUUUGCAGGAGGGGAGAAGAUUGAGCGCAACUCCACAUACAACAAGGAAAAGUGGUAAUUUAUAGCUAAAGAGCGGCAAGUGGGUGG